GCGGAGGUUGCCGAGCCAGGUUAAAGGCGGCAGACUCAAGAUCUGCUCUCACAGGAGUUCGCCGGUUCGAAUCCGGCCCUCCGCA
This 85-nucleotide transfer RNA is filed under the name Thermogymnomonas acidicola. It matches the Rfam family "tRNA". From Rfam's summary of the family: Transfer RNA (tRNA) molecules are approximately 80 nucleotides in length. Their secondary structure includes four short double-helical elements and three loops (D, anti-codon, and T loops). The record is from Rfam by way of RNAcentral. Lineage: Archaea; Methanobacteriati; Thermoplasmatota; Thermoplasmata; Thermoplasmatales. RNAcentral also lists the same sequence under 1 other name.